This 851-nucleotide long non-coding RNA is filed under the name Durio zibethinus. RNAcentral's name for it is "long non-coding RNA (DZIB_LNC000611)". The record is from RNAcentral. Lineage: Eukaryota; Viridiplantae; Streptophyta; Magnoliopsida; Malvales; Malvaceae.
GAUAUCAAUGAAGACACCACGCCAAUGAGGUGGUAAAUCGCGAAAGAUCUUAUGAAUCACAUCAAGUUCAUCACGAAUCAGAUAAUGGAGGUGAUCUGGAAGAGCACUGGGAAGCAAAGUAAGGAACUUAGCAAAAUCAAUAUCAGGUUGACUGGUAUCGGUAUUGUUCUCAGCCAUAAUUGUUUGUGAAAAAGGAGCGAUUUCAGAGAUGCAGGUUCGAAUUUAGAUUUUAGAAAGAUAGGGAAAACAAAAUACGCUAAACUUUGAAACCCUAAUUUAUCUUUUUAGAUUUUUUUUUACCAAAAACGCGUGGUGAUGUUGGUGGUGGACUCCUCUUCAUUUUUUAUUUGAAUAAGAUUGGCACCGUUGAUAUUAUAUAAUUUUUUGCCUUUGAUCGAUUUAUAACUUUGUAACGCUUUGUUUCAAUUCAUUUUCAGAUUCAAGAUGGAGCUGAUUUUCAGAAAGAAGAUAGAACGACUGUUCGCCUUCGCCGUCGAUCUCUCCGUGGCUAGAAAUAAUUUGUAUCUCUCCUCCGUCAUCGGCAUCAUCCUUUCCCUGAUUCCCCGUAAAAAUAUAGGAGGAAAUACAGUUCCACGACUCUUCGAGGGACAGUCAUCGGCCUUCUAUGCCCUGGUAAUAUCUGUCGUAUUUACUUUCACCGGUUCUUUCACGGCGUUGGUGAUAGGAGAUAACUCCAAGACUUCAAGAUUCUGCACGCUUUAUUCCAUGGUCGCCAUGAUUUUAGCUUUAUCAAUUCUCGCGCAUGUCUUUUUAUCCUGAGUGCUUCUUAGGUUCCUUCUGCUUCUCUUUCAAGAUCCAAGCCUCUUUACCUGUAUCUGGCUUUGAGUCCU